CAGCCGCCGCGGUAAUACGAGGGGGGCAAGCGUUGUUCGGAAUUAUUGGGCGUAAAGGGUGCGUAGGCGGUUUGGCAAGUUUGGUGUGAAAUCUUCGGGCUCAACCUGGGAACUGCAUUUGUGACUGUAUAGCUAGAGUACGGCAGAGGGGGAUGGAAUUCCGCGUGUAGCAGUGAAAUGCGUAGAUAUGCGGAGGAACACCGAUGGCGAAGGCAAUCCCCUGGGCCUGUACUGACGCUCAUGCACGAAAGCGUGGGGAGCAAACAGGAUUAGAUACCCCGGUAGUCCCUGUCUCAUACAC
Molecule: ribosomal RNA, 301 nt
Filed under: uncultured bacterium
Lineage: Bacteria
Description: partial 16S ribosomal RNA
Rfam family: Bacterial small subunit ribosomal RNA
Source: RNAcentral